GACGAACGCUGGCGGCGUGCCUAAUACAUGCAAGUUGAGCGCUGAAGGUUGGUACUUGUGCCGAAUGGAUGAGCAGCGCACGGGUGAGUACCGCGUGGGGAGUCUGCCUUUGAGCGGGGACAACAUUUGAAACCGAAUGCUAAUACCGCAUAAAAACUUUAAACCCAAGUUUUAAGUUUGAUCUAUGCAAUUGCAUCACUCAAAGAUGAUCCCGCGUUGUAUUAGCUAGUUGGUGAGGUAAAGGCUCACCCAGGCGAUGAUACAUAGCCGACCUGAGAGGAUGAUCAGCCACAUGGGGACGGAGACACGGCCCAAACUCCUAAGGGAGGCAGCAGUAGGGAAUCUUCGGCAAUGGACGAAAGUCUGACCGAGCAACGCGGCGAGAGUGAAGAAGGGUAUCGGAUCGUAAAAGUCGGUUGGUAGAGAAGAACGUUGGUGAGAGUGGAAAGCUCAUGAAGUGACGGUAACUACCCAGAAAGGGACGGCUAACUACGUG
Molecule: ribosomal RNA, 496 nt
Filed under: uncultured bacterium
Lineage: Bacteria
Description: partial 16S ribosomal RNA
Rfam family: Bacterial small subunit ribosomal RNA
Source: RNAcentral